UCAGAAUCCAGUGUGAGGAGACUCCUGGUUCUUGAUUAGCUCCUCCAUUUCCGCUCCUGUAACUCCUAGAGGUGCUGCGAGAGGCUCGCAGGGUCCUGCCUGCUGUGUCACCUGGGCAGCCCCCUGAGACACGAGCUCUCUGCAGAGGGCCCGCCCUCUGUUAGGGGCCUGAUGAGUUUUGUGGGGGCUUUGGCAGCACCCGGGACUGAACCCAGGCAGGCCUUUCCGACUGAGCUACAUCCCUGUCCCUUCCCAGGUUCGAGACGGUCUUGCUCAGUUGUCCAGGCUAGGCUGCCAUUUGCUAUCCUCCUGCCUCAGCCUCCCAGAGUGCUGGGAAUAUGAAUAUGUGCCAAAGCCCAGCCUGAUACUUCAUGUGAAUGCCUAGGUGAGCCCAUGUGCUCCUCCCGUCUACGUUGUAAGACACAGCUUUUGUGGGCGCCUCUUUGCUCUUGUCUGGGUGGAACUGCAAACAGGACAAGGAAGGGAUCCUUGUGGUGUAAGGCCCUUGCCACUGCUCUAGGGCUCUGAUCCCAGGCCACCCCUCUCAGGGAAAGGACCGGGUAGGCAGGUGGGCAGGCCCUGCUCUGGCAUGGUCACAUCAGUGCAGGUCCUCCUGGGUGCCACCUCUGCUCUGCCAGGCUCUGGGCAGGGUGGACUGUACUUCAUCAGUCCCCUUCCCAGUCAGGCAGGGAGCUGGAGCCAGAGCAGGAGGACCACACCGCCUCCCCUUCUCUGCCCUGCACCUGUUUGGGGUAGGGGGGGCAGGUGCUGGCGGACAGACUGACGCUCCACACACAUCUGCUCCUGUUUCGCUGUGCUCUCCAGUCUGUCACAAGCCCAGGAUAGGAACCAUGCCAGGAGCCAGACAGGAUGCUUCCCACUUCUCACCUGCUUGGCCUCGGUCUGCUCUGGCUGACAGGAGGGGCCUGAGGGGAGGCAGGGAGAUGCUAACCCCGUCCAGCUGUCCCCACCUACCCAGCUGUCCCUGGCUUUGUUGAAGCAGCUGUCACCCACCUUCCAAAAAAGUCUGUCAGAGGAGGCCCAAGAGGAGUUGGGGCUGCUCCCCGGCCCUCCCCUGCCAGAAUGGCCCCUGCUCGUCCCCUUCCAGGCAGGGCUGGUGCCCACAGUGUCCCCAUCCCACGGCCCAGAUGUGCGAGCCGCGGGAGAGGAGGCCUUGGCUGAGCCAGCGGUCCCAGGUCGCAGCUGGGGGGGGGCAACCCAGCGUCCAGAGGAAAGGGACCGUCGGUGGGCGGGACGCGGGAGACUGCACCGCCCUCCGUCCUGGGCCGGCCUGUACCCUACUUCCGGGCUGUCAGGGCCAGGCCCGCUCACACCCACGACCACGCACCCACGCACGCAGACCCUGUCCCUGCCAGGGCGCACACCCGGCGCGGCCUACUUUAUGGGGUGUGCAUCGGCAGGGGAGGGCGUCGGACCCCUGGGCCCUGCCGUGAAGGUCGGGGGAGGAACUGCGAUCCUGGGCAGCACUGAGCGGACCCACAGGAGGAACCCAGAGCGAGCUCCCAGGUGGCCCCUGCACUUCCUGUGCCCCCAGCAGCUGUGGAACCUGAGCGGCGGACACAACAGAGGUCAGCUGACACGGCCACCUGGACACCGAUUCCGUAAAGGCAUAGGAUCUGGCGGGCGCCUACACUCCCAGCGACUCGGACUCCGCAGGUGCCUUCAGGGCCCUUGUGCCAGGAGGCUGGCAGUGGCAGGGUGGGGGCUGCCGCUGAGGGCGAGGGCCACCAAGCUCUGCCGUCCCGACUGGUCAGCGGUGCUUUCGGAAAAGCUGAGGCCAAUUCUAAAACCAUUUCAUGAAAAGGAUAAAUGUAAAGAGAAGCAUGUCUAA
Fukomys damarensis (Damara mole-rat) is the source of this 1852-nucleotide long non-coding RNA. The record is from Ensembl. NCBI's taxonomy places the organism in Eukaryota, Metazoa, Chordata, Mammalia, Rodentia, Bathyergidae.